GGUCUACCCCGGAAGGUGCUUCGCCUCUCACCUGGGUGGGGACGGCUGCAGGGCCAUCUAGAGCUCACUGAGGCUUGUCAUUGAAAAAAAAAAAAAAAAGUUGGUAUAAAGUGAACCAGGCCUGAAGUCCCGAAGUGUCACUUCCGGGAGCCAAAGCAACCAGCUGCAAUUGUAGUUUUUUCUCAAGAGAUCUAUGGAGAACAGCAUGAGCAUCAGCUUCAGGGUAACUCAGUGGACUGCUUGACAGUUGUUUUGUCCAGGGACAGCCAAGGUAGCAAGAGAAGUCCAGCAGCUGCCAGUUGGGUAGUUAAAUUAACACAUCCUCCAGUGUCUUUGCUUAAUUACAAGAAAAUAAACAUCGGGAAUGUGUAAAGUCUAAACACGGAGAAUCUACCAACGACAUGCAGAGUCUUUAAGGAUGCUUUAAGAGUGCUCAACACGAAGGUGCCCUUCACACACACACACACAAACACACAUAUACACAAGCUUUGUCUAGCCCACCUUCACAUUCGCCAGGGAAACACUCUUUAAACUCAGUGAACAAACACAGCUUGAAGUGACUCACACAAUAAACAAGAGAGCAGCUGACAGAGUUGGGAAGAAUGUAUUUUUUUUUUCAGAUAGGCUGGAGAUAAGAAAAUCAGGAAAGCUGGCUGCCUCCUGAGUUCACUUGUUUAUGUGACAAAUGCUUUUUUGAAUAAGCACCAUAUGCCAGUGACCCUUAGCCACAAACCUGGCUUUCUUCUUCAUACUGACUCAGUUGUCUACGGCAUUUGCCUCAGCCCCUCCUCCCCUCCUCUGUGGACCUCUUCUGACUGGGAAAUGCUUCAGCUCCCACAGCUGUAGGAAAGGGACACGCUUUCAAGCUCUGGACAGGAGGGAGCAGCACGGCCCUACAGACAGGCAGUCCCAUUUCCUCUUCAUCAGCUGGAACCACGCCUGGCUGGACUGUCCUCUGCUGGAGCUGCCCUCGGAGAGAUUCUGCACAUCUGUGACUCACUUCAAGCCAAUUACACCAGGCCAGGGGCACAAAUAGCAUGAACCCACACAACUGACUCCAUUGUGGAAGUGCUGUUCAGGCUACAAAACUCAGCCCGUAGAUGACAACACCUGCCAAAACUACAACAAAGACCUAACCCAUCAAAGACCACAGUUCUGGGAAAGUCUCAAACUGUACUAACCUUGCUUUAUGGCUUCUGUAGUUUUGCUCUGGCUAAUUGUUCCUGUUAACUAAAAUAUGUCAGAACA
Molecule: long non-coding RNA, 1248 nt
Organism: Mus musculus (house mouse)
Lineage: Eukaryota; Metazoa; Chordata; Mammalia; Rodentia; Muridae
Product: predicted gene, 52101
Exons: 3
Source: RefSeq, a predicted model, not a curated record